UCCGUAGGUGAACUUGCGGAGGGAUCAUUA
This 30-nucleotide ribosomal RNA is filed under the name Doratomyces sp. HSAUP074198. RNAcentral's name for it is "partial 18S ribosomal RNA". The record is from RNAcentral. Lineage: Eukaryota; Fungi; Ascomycota; Sordariomycetes; Microascales; Microascaceae.